AGGGGUUUGCUGAGCUAAAGGCUUGAAUGAUCUCGAACAACAUGCCACAAUGGAGCCCAACUUUGGGUAUAGGAGACACUUUAAUCUGCAUUUCUUGUGAAGCACAUAUCAAAGGCUUUUAGGCAACAUUUUGGAAAAGCCUAUUGAGCUCAAAGAUUAAGCAAUGUCAUCUUAUCACCAUCUCCAAUUGAAUGAGCUUGAGCUGUAUGCCAGCAUAGGUGUCAUAUUGGCAUGUUGAAUACAUGUAGCAACAACAACAGCAGCAGCAACGACAUCAUAGCCUGCGAGGCUACUUCUACUUGAUGCUCAAUUACUCUGUUCUGAUAGUAUUUUGUAUGGGUAUUGCAUCAUAGCACGUGAGGCUACUUGAUGCUCCAUUACUCUUUGUUCUGAUUAUAUAUUUUUUGCCCUGUUAUUUACAGAGGUCUCGGGUUAAUCUGGAAGAGGCACAGAACAACAAAAAACAACGCAAAGCUAAAUGAAGUGGGUCUUGCAGAAGCUUCCAAGUUCUUUUGUAGCUUCAACUGCUGUGUUCCCAAACUUUGUAGCGGCCAUACCGUUAGGAUAUUCAAGUAUCCAAGAGUUUUCUCGUCGGCUGUACCCCGUUUCGGCCUAAACUGUUAGUAAUUUGUUGAAUUUUAGAUAUUUAAUUGAAGUGGAUCAAAAUGAUAUUUUUGAGCCGAGCAGCUGAUAUAGGCUCCUCGAACUACAGUGUGUCGCCUGUGCCAAAUCAUCACAGGUUCAUGAUCCACACGAACUAUAAUUGUGCUUCUCAAACUGUGGUGUGGAGCUUGAGCCAUUUUAGAGGAGUCACACACUGUGUGUGUAUUUUAAAAAAAGCGGAUCUGGUUUCUCAUUUUGUAUUAAACCGUUUGGCUGUUUUCAGCAACGUCCUCUAUA
Molecule: long non-coding RNA, 900 nt
Filed under: Zea mays
Lineage: Eukaryota; Viridiplantae; Streptophyta; Magnoliopsida; Poales; Poaceae
Description: drought-responsive long non-coding RNA
Source: RNAcentral